UCUUUUUUUUUUUUUUUUUUUUGGAAACUGAAAAAGUAUUACCAGGAUGAAGAUGUUAACGAAGGACGAAAGAAAGCCUACAACAAGACCAACAAGCAAGAAAGCAACAAAACCCGAAGCAAUGAGGGGAUAUGGAGAAAGACCCUAGAACCAAAUUCAAGUGUCUCCCCUACAACUGCCAACCAUUGAUCAAUAGAGAUAAGAGCAAAAUUGAAGUGUUGUAAUCGUCUGCUGCUCCGCACCACAUCCCCACUCCGUAAUAGAGACGAGCCGCUGUCCGUCUCUUCCUACUCUCUCUCUCCGCCGCGGCCACCACCAGCCGUGCCUCCUGUCACGAGUUCCUCCCAUUUAACUAUCUAUCCUCUCCAAACACCACCGAUUUAAUCCCGACGUAUACACUUUUUGGUUUUUCAUUUUUAUUUUUAUUUUUAUUUGUUUGAUCGGUACAGGGUUUUGUACUAACCUCAAAGAGAUGAUAUUUUGUAUUUGAUUUUUGAGUAUUUGUUGUCUUUGUAUAAGAAUCACUAUUUGGAUUAAUUGUUGAUUUUCAA
Long non-coding RNA from Pyrus x bretschneideri (Chinese white pear), 551 nucleotides. RefSeq lists it as uncharacterized. NCBI's taxonomy places the organism in Eukaryota, Viridiplantae, Streptophyta, Magnoliopsida, Rosales, Rosaceae. The transcript is spliced from 2 exons. The record is from RefSeq and is a predicted model, not a curated record.